RNAcentral lists this ribosomal RNA (465 nucleotides) under uncultured bacterium. RNAcentral describes it as "partial 16S ribosomal RNA". It matches the Rfam family "Bacterial small subunit ribosomal RNA", at positions 338 to 795 of the family's 1533-position model. The record is from RNAcentral.
CCUACGGGAGGCAGCAGUGGGGAAUUUUGCGCAAUGCUCGUAAGAGUGACGCAGCGACGCCGCGUGAAUGACGAAGGCCUUCGGGUCGUAAAGUUCUUUCGACAGGGAAGAAAAUGCCUAUAAGUAACUGUGUAUGUAUUGACGGUACCUGUAUAAGCAGCCCCGGCUAACUCCGUGCCAGCAGCCGCGGUAAUACGGAGGGGGCGAGCGUUGUUCGGAGGGACUGGGCGUAAAGAGCACGUAGGCGGUGUUGUAAGUCAUUAGUCAAAGACUAGAGCUCAACUUUAGUAAGGCUAGUGAUACUAUAAUACUAGAGUAUCAGAGAGGAUUGCAGAAUUCCUGGUGUAGCGGUGAAAUGCGUAGAUAUCAGGAGGAAUACCGUUAGCGAAGGCGGCAAUCUGGCUGGAAACUGACGCUGAGGUGCGAAAGCGUGGGUAGCAAACAGGAUUAGAGACCCUUGUAGUC